This 241-nucleotide ribosomal RNA is filed under the name uncultured bacterium. Its description in RNAcentral is "partial 16S ribosomal RNA". It matches the Rfam family "Bacterial small subunit ribosomal RNA", at positions 94 to 334 of the family's 1533-position model. The record is from RNAcentral.
CCGGGCGCACGGGUGAGUAACACGUAUCCAACCUGCCGUCUACUCUUGGCCAGCCUUCUGAAGGAAGAUUAAUCCAGGAUGGCAUCAUGAGUUCACAUGUCCGCAUGAUUAAAGGUAUUUUCCGGUAGACGAUGGGGAUACGUUCCAUUAGAUAGUAGGCGGGGUAACGGCCCACCUAGUCAACGAUGGAUAGGGGUUCUGAGAGGAAGGUCCCCCACAUUGGAACUGAGACACGGUCCAA